This 531-nucleotide long non-coding RNA is filed under the name Nicotiana benthamiana. RNAcentral's name for it is "long non-coding RNA (NBEN_LNC012035)". Lineage: Eukaryota; Viridiplantae; Streptophyta; Magnoliopsida; Solanales; Solanaceae. The record is from RNAcentral.
UUGAAGUAAAUGAUAUUGAAAGUGGUGAAGGUCCCAGUAAUUUUGAUGUGCAGCCUAGUGGCUAAGACAUCGAGCUUGCUGGUUGGAAAGACACUCAUUUCUUGGCUAGCUAGGGAGGAGUUUUGGUGGUUUAUUUUGUUGUCAUUCUGCUUGUCUGGGUCAUUUCAGGGUUAUAAUCCGGACAUUGCCUUGUGGUUCAAACUCUUCUUCUUCUUUUUGCUUUGUUCGUUUUAUUGUAGUAACUCAUCUAGUGUUAUCUAGGAUUGUUCCAAGGUUAUAACCCAUGUCUAUUUUGCUUAUUUUUUUCAAACCCUGUUCACCAUCUGUCUUAUGCAAUCUCUUGUUUUCUGUUAGUUCUAGUCAGUCUUUUGUUUAGGUCACUUUUCCUUUUAUAAUUCUUUUCAUGUUGACUGUAGUGACAUGAAAUGCACGCAUAAUUCUUAGAUCUUGAAAGUUAGUCUAAUCAUGAAGCAAUGACACAAUUUUGAAUAUGAUAAAACGAUGCGUUUGAGGAAAUAAUUAAAGAUUCAC